UUAAUUUAUUUUGGUAGUUGAAGAAAGUUCGUAGCUAUCUUACUUAUAAGGCAUUUUAAAGAAAAUUUAUCAACUUUUAUAUCUUAUAAAUAAAUAAAUCGUAGUUGUUGUGCAAAUAUUAUCAGUCUAGCUAUUUGGCACCUUUUAAUAUCUAAUAUCUCUUUUUAUCAGAAACCCAUUAUUACUAUCUAAAGUUUAGUCAUUUCCUUAUCAAAUAUUCGUAGCCUUACUCAUGGGCAUUGCACGAAUGUCGAGAAUAAUGAGUUUAACCGUGACACCAAAGGAGUAUGGAAAAUCAAUAGCGAGUUAACAAUGCUGGAGUAGAAGGUCCUUGAUGUGUUCGCAUACAAUACAUGAAUAUGUGAUUGUGUUUAUGGGUGUGUGUGCAACUGGAGCGACUCUUGGUCUUUUGGAGCAAGCGCUGCAAGGGCGCCUGGCGUUGUGGACUGCCGGACUGGCCAUUGUUGAUGAUAUCGCUGCCACUGCCCCACUCGGCAUCGAUGGCCUUGGAGG
Long non-coding RNA from Drosophila sulfurigaster albostrigata, 513 nucleotides. RefSeq lists it as uncharacterized. The record is from RefSeq and is a predicted model, not a curated record. NCBI's taxonomy places the organism in Eukaryota, Metazoa, Arthropoda, Insecta, Diptera, Drosophilidae. The transcript has 2 exons.